CAGUAAUGACCAGACACAUCACACCCGCCUUCUAGAAGCCCUCCCUCACAAACCGGAUCAACUGCUAUGAUAAAGGAUGGCAAUGUGCCAACUAGAAAAGCCACACUUGACCGGGCAUGGUGGCUCAAGCCUGUAAUCCCAGCACUUUGGGAGGCCAAGGUGGGCGAAUCACAAGCUCCACCCCACUAAAAGGAAUGUCACUUCUGAGCAACGUGGGUGAGGAAUCAGCAGCCGAAGUAGCAGCAAGCUGGAAAGGAUGGAUGCUUCUGGAAGCCACCUCAGAGACCAACCACAGCGGAUGGGCCCUCCUUAGCACAGAGCUACUUUUAGCCCAUUGUUCUACUGUGGGGAACAGAGGGAAACCCAGGGAACGAAACAAACAGUGUCACCUGCCUUCUGUAGUAAUAGUAACCAGGAUACUGAAAUAACUGUCUUAAGAUUCUCAUGAGCAAUCUGUUCCACUGACCCUUACCUCGUAAAAGAAAGUUCAAGAUGAUUCAGAAAGGAAUCAUGACAUGGCGAUUGAGACAGAACUCUCUAUCCCCUGGGUAUUAAGCACACUGAAGAUGGGUAAGGGCUGGAUGAAGCAAUCGCAGUCAAUUUGGCCACUGCCUGUAGGCCUCUCUGACUGAGCAGCAAGAACCUCAGAGAGGGAAACUGAAGACAUACCUCCCACCCGCAUCCUGUUU
Homo sapiens (human) is the source of this 689-nucleotide long non-coding RNA. NCBI's taxonomy places the organism in Eukaryota, Metazoa, Chordata, Mammalia, Primates, Hominidae. The record is from Ensembl.